AUUACUGCAAGACUGGCCUUUGAUCUUAUGACCCAGUCCCCUAAGCAUUGCCACCCCAUUUCUGGUUCCUCUUGUCACAGCACAAAUUUCCAGCUGGAAGGGGAAUGGAGAUUGGGACCUAGGAGCAAGAGGUUUCAGGCUGCCUCACUCCCUUAGCAUAAACAUUGACAGCGGGAAAAGCCUACACUUCCCCUUUAAAAGAAUAUUGGCAGAGAAACAGCCCUGGUGUUCCAGCAGGAGCCAAGAGGAACAGGAAAACAAAUGGCAGCAUCCAUGAGACAGCCACUUCUGGUGGUUGCCACUCACCUGGAGAUUCAGCAACAGGUAUCCACGGGGAGAGCCCUACAUCAUCUGCUACCCUGAAGGAUCUGGAGAGCCCGUGCCAAGAACUAGCAGUAGUCCCAGACUCGAGGUCCGUAAAAGUCAGUCAACUGAAGAACACCAUCAAAUCUUUGAAACAACAGAAUAAACAAGUGGAACAUCAGCUGGAAGAAGUAACAUGAUUUCUUUGUUUGCUCGCGACAUGACUGCUCGGUUUGGGGGACACUCAGAUGUAGAGGCCCCGAGUCUCG
This 572-nucleotide long non-coding RNA is filed under the name Homo sapiens (human). RNAcentral describes it as "non-protein coding lnc-GOLGA8G-1:5". The record is from RNAcentral. Lineage: Eukaryota; Metazoa; Chordata; Mammalia; Primates; Hominidae.